UGCAGGGAAUCUUGGGAACAGACUUAGUUGGGGAUCACCGUGGAAGUAUUAAAAAAUGCGAAUCUCAUGACAGCAUUGGCAAAAAGAACCUAUGAAACUAAUGUAAAGAUCAAUUGGCAAGAUUCGAAGAUAGCACAAGUGGCGAAGCAAAACAGCCUAUCUACAGCGGAAGAGAUACAAAUAUAUAAGAAAGCACAGGUAACCAUGGUUAUUAAUGAUAAACAGUUAGACACCAUAAGGAAUCCCUGGAAGUACCUCUUAAAUCAACAAUACAUUCAACCCCAGUAACCAUCCAUGAAAGGAUCAGACAAACACCCACAGGUAACCUAAGUUUAUUGAAAGACUCACUGAGCUGUAUUGAACUGUUACUUAGUAUAUAGCUCUUUAUGUCAGCC
This 395-nucleotide long non-coding RNA is filed under the name Androctonus crassicauda. The record is from RNAcentral. Lineage: Eukaryota; Metazoa; Arthropoda; Arachnida; Scorpiones; Buthidae.